Molecule: long non-coding RNA, 444 nt
Organism: Dermacentor andersoni
Lineage: Eukaryota; Metazoa; Arthropoda; Arachnida; Ixodida; Ixodidae
Source: RefSeq, a predicted model, not a curated record
AAGUUGCAAAACAAACGCGAUGUUUUGUGGAGCUCUCCUUAUAAAAGCACACUCCGUCUGCACGACGAUUUGUCAUUUGCUCCUGUGAACAUCUGUUACUUCGUUCCACCAUGAUCCGCUUCUGCAUCCUCCUGGCCCUGGCCACCUGUGCAUUUGCCGUCUACACCGGCUAUCCCAGCGGCUACGCUUUCGGCGCGCCUGCCUCCUACGGAGCUUACAACGCCCCACUUGGUGCUCUGUCCACAUAUGGCUAUGGCGUCGGCCAUGGUGCGCCAGCCUACGGCUACGGACUGGGAAGCUACGGCCUGAGCUACGGAAGUGGUCUUGGAGGUCUUGGCUAUUCCACCCUACUGCACCACAAAUAAAUUGAUCUAAGAAAGGCUGGUCACUUUCAUUUCAACUUACAGAAGACUGGAAAAAUUGGAAUAAAAAUUGUUUUAAUUA